This 775-nucleotide ribosomal RNA is filed under the name uncultured bacterium. Its description in RNAcentral is "bacterial SSU rRNA". It matches the Rfam family "Bacterial small subunit ribosomal RNA", at positions 685 to 1461 of the family's 1533-position model. The record is from RNAcentral.
AAUGCGUAGAUAUCUGCAGGAACACCCGUGGCGAAGGCGGCUGACUGGAUCGCAACUGACACUGAGGAACGAAAGCUAGGGGAGCAAACAGGAUUAGAUACCCUGGUAGUCCUAGCCCUAAACCAUCGGAACUUGGGGUGGCCCGCGUAGGCGGGUCGUCCCGUAGCUAACGCGUUAAGUUCCGCGCCUGGGGAGUACGGUCGCAAGACUGAAACUCAAAGGAAUUAACGGGGGCCCGCACAAGCGGUGGAACAUGUGGUUCAAUUCGACGCAACGCGAAGAACCUUACCUGGGCUUGAACCGCUACUGACCAACGGUAGAAAUAUCGUCUUCCCGCAAGGGACAGUAGUAGAGGUGCUGCAUGGCUGUCGUCAGCUCGUGCCGUGAGGUGUUGGGUUAAGUCCCGCAACGAGCGCAACCCUUAUUCGUAGUUGCCACCCGCAAGGGGGAACUCUACGAGGACUGCUCCGGAUAACGGAGAGGAAGGUGGGGAUGAGGUCAAGUCAGCAUGGCCUUUAUGUCCAGGGCUACACACGUGUUACAAUGCGCGCCACAAAGCGUCGCGAACCCGCGAGGGGGAGCUAAUCGCAAAAAAGCGCGCUCAGUUCGGAUUGCAGUCUGCAACUCGACUGCAUGAAGCUGGAAUCGCUAGUAAUGGCGCAUCAGAUCGGCGCCGUGAAUACGUUCCCGGGCCUUGUACACACCGCCCGUCACAUCACGAAAGUCGGCUGUGCCAGAAGCCGGUGGGCUAACCGCAAGGGAGCAGCCGUCCAAG